AUUGAACGCUGGCGGCAGGCCUAACACAUGCAAGUCGAACGGUAACAGGAAGAAGCUUGCUUCUUUGCUGACGAGUGGCGGACGGGUGAGUAAUGUCUGGGAAACUGCCUGAUGGAGGGGGAUAACUACUGGAGACGGUAGCUAAUACCGCAUAACGUCGCAAGACCAAAAAGGGGGACCUUCGGGCCUCUUGCCAUCGGAUGUGCCCAGAUGGGAUUAGCUAGUAGGUGGGGUAACGGCUCACCUAGGCGACGAUCCCUAGCUGGUCUGAGAGGAUGACCAGCCACACUGGAACUGAGACACGGUCCAGACUCCUACGGGAGGCAGCAGUGGGGAAUAUUGCACAAUGGGCGCAAGCCUGAUGCAGCCAUGCCGCGUGUAUGAAGAAGGCCUUCGGGUUGUAAAGUACUUUCAGCGGGGAGGAAGGGAGUAAAGUUAAUACCUUUGCUCAUUGACGUUACCCGCAGAAGAAGCACCGGCUAACUCCGUG
RNAcentral lists this ribosomal RNA (490 nucleotides) under uncultured bacterium. RNAcentral describes it as "partial 16S ribosomal RNA". It matches the Rfam family "Bacterial small subunit ribosomal RNA", at positions 30 to 507 of the family's 1533-position model. The record is from RNAcentral.